GGAGACAGGUCGAUUGUUGGGACCUUUCUGAGGCUUUUAUUUUGGUUGGGAGGUUAUUGUCGUUUCCUUUACAUUUCCUUUGAAUCCCUGAGCUCAGUCUGUCAGGCUGAUCAAUCUGAUACACCUGAUCAAUUUACAGUUUUUGUUUUCUGUUUCCUUUUGAAGAAGCUAAAUGAAUCAAGUCUAACAUUGCCACAGGAAGUGACCUCAGCACUGCCCAGUUUGAUGGACGCCACUCCAUCAGGCUCUGAUUACAACAGAAGCUACGUAAGAGCAGAGACUUAUCAAGGAUUACCAGACGCCAGCUGCCAGCAGCAGCCAGGUCCAGACCAAGCUCUGGUCUUGUGACCUGAACCUGAGACCAGUCUAUUUCCGUGUGUAGGUUGCAGGUGUGAAGGACACGCUUCUGAGUAGCAGGGAGUCCAGCUCAUCCUGGACCAGGACCAGUCUCCUGGGAGCUCUGAGCUUGUCCCCUUCUGAGGUAAAAACCAGAGUCCACCCUGACAUUCUACCUGACUACAUCUGUCUCUGUCUGAUGUCUGUCUCUGUCCAGCUGUUCAGUCUGUGUGAGGACCUAAAGCUACAGCGUCCAGCUCUCACUUCAACCCCGGUCUGCUCCCACAAACACCCCACCAGCUGGGACCAGGACCAGAACCUGGCUUGUGUGCACUGCAGCAGAACCCCGGCCAAGGUCAGAGACCGGGUGAGAGCACUGUGGGCAUCAGCUCCCCGAACGCCAACGCCACUGAAGAUCAGUGCCAGCAGCCAGGACGAGGUCCCAGUCCGUCAAACCAGGAUGAUGAAUGAGACCUGGGAGCAGAGGAGCCUGGACCCUGAGAGUCCACAAUCUGACAGCAGCUCUGAGGUCUGACACAACAACACUACAACAACAUUAAAACAUCAUGACACCUCAGAACAACAACAAUACAGACUUUAGAAUCUGUCUCGGAUGGAUCAAGGUCCAACAGAACCAAACUCAGAUCUAGCCCUGGUCUCAUGUGGAGUCCUAAAAUAGAGCUGAACCUUAAAGCCACAUCAAGAGGAGGUCUCAAGUCCACAGAAACCUCCAGCUGGUUCCACAGGGUGGGCCUGCAGGUCUGGAUCAACUGUUGACCCCUGUCAUCCAGGUCCAGGGGGAGAGUCUACUGACCUCGAUCAUGCAGGACGAAGGCCAGUCCAGCUCCGCCCCACAAGACCAAGGCCAGUCCCUCUCCGCCCCUGGUUGUGAGGAGGUUGGGUUUUUCCCAUUGGAGGGGCAGGUGGAGGUGUGGUGGUGUCAGCAGCCAAUCGGAUACUUGCCUUCUCCAGAAUGUCCUGCCCACAGACUGACCCCCUUUGAGGUAAAAAAAAAAAAAAAACCUCAAGACUUAAAGUUCCCUCUGAGUAUUGUGGAUGGACUGAGUGUGUGUCUGUGUGUGUCAGCUUAGUGGUGAGUUACAGGUUGUGAUGUUUGGGAAAACGGCUGAUCAGAGGAGUCUGACGGAGCAGGCCAGACUCUACCUGGAGUCCUGAUCUUCGUCCUGAUCUUCAUCCCCUCAAAGCCAGUCAGUCUGUUUCUGACAGCUGAUCUUUUAUUGAUUUAUUGGAGCUUUCAUUGAAAGAUAAAAUAUGUUUAUUGUUUAACAUUUUAAACUUUUAUUGUCAUUUUAAAUUUAAAAGCAUUAAUUUAUUGAUAGAUUGACUUCAGCACUUUAUCAGCCUCUGACUGUCUGAGCACAGCUGAUGGAACAUAUU
RNAcentral lists this long non-coding RNA (1734 nucleotides) under Echeneis naucrates (live sharksucker). RNAcentral describes it as "lncRNA (ENSENLG00000012054.1)". Lineage: Eukaryota; Metazoa; Chordata; Actinopteri; Carangiformes; Echeneidae. The record is from RNAcentral.